UUAAAGUUUUAUUUUAGCUUAAAUAAUUAAUAUAUAUAUUUAAAAUAUAUGUAAAUUUUUGUUUUAUUUUUUAUAAAUAUUAAAUAUAUUUAAUUAAUAAAAAGAUUUUAUUAUUCGCAGUAUUUAAUAUUAAAAAUUAAAGAAAUUUUGAUUUAGGAAUUUAUAAUAAUAUUAACAAAAUAUGUGCCAGCAGUUGCGGUUAGACAUAUAAUAUAGUUAUUUAUUUUUAGUUGAUAAUUAAUUGAUUAUUAUUAUUUCUUUUGAUAUUAUUAAUUUAUUGGGUGAAAUUAUAAAUUAAUAAAGUAAAGAUUUUAUUUAGAUGAGGUUAUUAAAUUUUAUUAUAAACUAGGAUUAGAUACCCUAUUAUUAAAAUGUAAAAUAAAAAAAAUUUGAAUAGUAAAAGUUAUAGUCUUUAAAUUUAAAAAAUUUGGCGGUAUUUUAGUCUAUUUAGAGGAACCUGUUUUUUAAUUGAUACACCACGAUUAGAUUAACUUAUUCUAUAAAUUUGUAUAUCGUUGUAAUUGAAUAUAUUAUAAGAUUAUUAAAUAUUCAUAAUUUUUUAUUUAAAAUAUAAAUCAAAUCAAGGUGCAGUUAAUGGAUAAGAUUAUAAUGGGUUACAAUAAAAAUAUUUAUGGAUUUAGAUUUUUAAAAUUUAGUGAAAUUGGAUUUAAUUGUAAUUAGGUUAAUUUUAAUUUAAUGAUUUUAGCUCUAAAAUAUGUACAUAUUGCCCGUCGCUCUCAUUUAAGGUGAGAUAAGUCGUAACAUAGUAAGUGUACUGGAAAGUGUAUUUAGACUG
Molecule: non-coding RNA, 796 nt
Filed under: Staphylinidae sp. BMNH 1274257
Lineage: Eukaryota; Metazoa; Arthropoda; Insecta; Coleoptera; Staphylinidae
Source: RNAcentral